AAAUUGAAGAGUUUGAUCAUGGCUCAGAUUGAACGCUGGCGGCAGGCCUAACACAUGCAAGUCGAACGGUAACAGGAAACAGCUUGCUGUUUCGCUGACGAGUGGCGGACGGGUGAGUAAUGUCUGGGAAACUGCCCGAUGGAGGGGGAUAACUACUGGAAACGGUAGCUAAUACCGCAUAACGUCGCAAGACCAAAGAGGGGGACCUUCGGGCCUCUUGCCAUCGGAUGUGCC
This 234-nucleotide ribosomal RNA is filed under the name Escherichia coli. Its description in RNAcentral is "partial 16S ribosomal RNA". It matches the Rfam family "Bacterial small subunit ribosomal RNA", at positions 1 to 231 of the family's 1533-position model. The record is from RNAcentral. Lineage: Bacteria; Pseudomonadati; Pseudomonadota; Gammaproteobacteria; Enterobacterales; Enterobacteriaceae.